RNAcentral lists this ribosomal RNA (274 nucleotides) under uncultured bacterium. Its description in RNAcentral is "partial 16S ribosomal RNA". It matches the Rfam family "Bacterial small subunit ribosomal RNA", at positions 523 to 796 of the family's 1533-position model. The record is from RNAcentral.
AUACGAAGGGGGCUAGCGUUGUUCGGAAUCACUGGGCGUAAAGCGCGCGUAGGUGGAUCAAUUAGUUGAGGGUGAAAUCCCGGGGCUCAACCUCGGAACUGCCUUCAAUACUGUUGAUCUUGAGACCGAGAGAGGUGAGUGGAAUUCCUAGUGUAGAGGUGAAAUUCAUAGAUAUUAGGAAGAACACCGGUGGCGAAGGCGGCUCACUGGCUCGGUACUGACGCUGAGGUGCGAAAGCGUGGGGAGCAAACAGGAUUAGAAACCCUAGUAGUCC